GCAGCCGCCACGGUAAUACGGAGGGUGCAAGCGUUAUCCGGAUUUAUUGGGUUUAAAGGGUCCGUAGGCGGAUCUGUAAGUCAGUGGUGAAAUCUCACAGCUUAACUGUGAAACUGCCAUUGAUACUGCAGGUCUUGAGUAAAUUUGAAGUGGCUGGAAUAAGUAGUGUAGCGGUGAAAUGCAUAGAUAUUACUUAGAACACCAAUUGCGAAGGCAGGUCACUAAGAUUUAACUGACGCUGAUGGACGAAAGCGUGGGGAGCGAACAGGAUUAGAUACCCGUGUAGUCCCUGUCUCUUAUAC
This 302-nucleotide ribosomal RNA is filed under the name uncultured bacterium. RNAcentral's name for it is "partial 16S ribosomal RNA". It matches the Rfam family "Bacterial small subunit ribosomal RNA", at positions 508 to 807 of the family's 1533-position model. The record is from RNAcentral.